This 502-nucleotide long non-coding RNA is filed under the name Hordeum vulgare. Its description in RNAcentral is "long non-coding RNA (HVUL_LNC016568)". The record is from RNAcentral. Lineage: Eukaryota; Viridiplantae; Streptophyta; Magnoliopsida; Poales; Poaceae.
UCAUUGACAAUAGUUUCAAUGAUAUAUUCGUGCUGAUCCACUUGAACUUGCACACCACAAUCUUGAUGACGAUCACCACUUGACGUCAUCCUUCAUGGGUUGUAUGAGAUCUUCCUUUUGACGCAAGCCCAAUGGAAACACACCUAACCCCCACAUAGGAGUCUCACAAAGACCAUGGGUUAGUACACAAAUACGUAAUGGACAAUGCUUACCAUACCAUGGGAUCACUUGAUCCCUCUCGGUACAUAUUAUACGCUUUGUGUGUUGAUCAUCUUGAUUUACUCUUUGUCUGAGAUCUUGAUCAACCUAGUGUUUCUAUGACCAUUCUUUGGAUAAUACCUUGAAUAACAUCUUGGUCAACAUAUAAACUCCUUGAACCCAACAGAUGGACUUCAAGAAGUGCCUAUGGACAAAUCCUAUAAAUAUAAAUUAAGGCAACCAUUAGUCCAUAGGAAUUGUCAUCAAUUACCAAAACCACAUAUGGAGAUAUAUGCUCUAACAA